UGCCAAGAAGGACAACCAAGGAAUCACAAAAGGGAAUCAGAUGGCGCAUUCAUAUGUUGCCUCCUUUUGUCCCAUGUGCCUCAUUCUCCAAGAAAGUGAACAUGUGCCUUCCACACACAAUAAAACCAUGCUCUCUCUCCUACCAUGCAGCAAAGAAACGUUCUCUCUCCCUACCAAAACUAAAUUGCCGAACUCACUCCUCUUCCAAGGUUAAAAAAAACGUUGCCUUCCAUAUUCCACACUCCAAAAGGUUCUAUAAUCUCUUCUACCAAGGUGCC
Molecule: long non-coding RNA, 278 nt
Filed under: Vigna radiata
Lineage: Eukaryota; Viridiplantae; Streptophyta; Magnoliopsida; Fabales; Fabaceae
Description: long non-coding RNA (VRAD_LNC017285)
Source: RNAcentral